GCGAGGGAUCAAUACAACAAUUAUCCCAAGCUUCCUAAACUCUACGUUUAAACGGAUCAGAAUGAAAAAAAUUCAAAACAAACUGGGUAAAUUUUUAAAAAAGAGAAAAAUGGAAUUAGAAAUGUGAACUAAAACAGAGGGACUAGUGGCACAAAUAUCCCUACCAAGACCAAAACGCGCAGAUCUAGCCGCAUCAGGGUCAGGUCCUCGGGUAUAGCCAACAAGAUACUUUUUUGAAGCCAUUGAAACAGGCCUCAAACGGUGUUGUUGCUCAGUCACUAUAAAACUAAAAAAACAAGAUUAAAAUGUGUUAGCCACUUUAAAAACAGAAUGGCAAAACCCUAGCCAUUAACUGUUCGGAAUCCUAGCCAUUCCAAGGCCCUUCGAUCCUCGCCAGAACUCCGAUUGUGACGGAGUGGGCAAGGAUUCAACAACACCAGGUGAAACCACCGUACGUGGGAGCCGUUCGUGGGGUGACGUGGAAGGGGCUAGAGGCGCGCGUGUGGGGGGAGCAGCAGCUGAAGGUUCUAGGGUUUUUUUUUUUUUUAAAGUUUUGGGCUAAUUUGGGUUUUAGGCUUAGUAUUUUAGGUAGUAUUUUAGGCCUGCUAUUUUAUUGGAUUUGUAAUAAAAAAUUGGACUGUUAUUGGACUUUUAAUAAUUUGGACUUAUUUUAUGUUGUUUUUUAUUUGGUUUUUAAUUUAUUAUUUCAAUCGGGCUCAGGCAAAUUGGGCUAAUUAUAGAAUC
Long non-coding RNA from Gossypium raimondii (Peruvian cotton), 744 nucleotides. RefSeq lists it as uncharacterized. The transcript has 2 exons. The record is from RefSeq and is a predicted model, not a curated record. Lineage: Eukaryota; Viridiplantae; Streptophyta; Magnoliopsida; Malvales; Malvaceae.